GCAUUGGUGGUCUAGUGGUAUGAUGUCACCCUACCACGGUGGCGACCCGGGUUCGAUUCCCGGCCAAUGCA
RNAcentral lists this transfer RNA (71 nucleotides) under Hofstenia miamia. RNAcentral's name for it is "tRNA-Gly for anticodon ACC". It matches the Rfam family "tRNA". From Rfam's summary of the family: Transfer RNA (tRNA) molecules are approximately 80 nucleotides in length. Their secondary structure includes four short double-helical elements and three loops (D, anti-codon, and T loops). The record is from RNAcentral. Lineage: Eukaryota; Metazoa; Xenacoelomorpha; Acoela; Hofsteniidae.